UGGGGCUUGGCCAAGUGGUUAAGGCACCGGACUUUGACUCCGGCAUUCAUAGGUUCAAAUCCUAUAGCCCCAGCCA
This 76-nucleotide transfer RNA is filed under the name Clostridium sp. 'deep sea'. RNAcentral's name for it is "tRNA-Gln". It matches the Rfam family "tRNA". From Rfam's summary of the family: Transfer RNA (tRNA) molecules are approximately 80 nucleotides in length. Their secondary structure includes four short double-helical elements and three loops (D, anti-codon, and T loops). Further hydrogen bonds mediate the characteristic L-shaped molecular structure. tRNAs have two regions of fundamental functional importance: the anti-codon, which is responsible for specific mRNA codon recognition, and the 3' end, to which the tRNAs corresponding amino acid is attached (by aminoacyl-tRNA synthetases). tRNAs cope with the degeneracy of the genetic code in two manners: having more than one tRNA (with a specific anti-codon) for a particular amino acid; and 'wobble' base-pairing, i.e. permitting non-standard base-pairing at the 3rd anti-codon position. Lineage: Bacteria; Bacillati; Bacillota; Clostridia; Eubacteriales; Clostridiaceae. The record is from RNAcentral.